Molecule: ribosomal RNA, 116 nt
Filed under: Pteropus alecto (black flying fox)
Lineage: Eukaryota; Metazoa; Chordata; Mammalia; Chiroptera; Pteropodidae
Also listed under: 1 other name
Source: RNAcentral
GUCUAUGGUCAUGCCACCCUGAACAAGCCCGAUGUCUAAUCUCGGAAGCUAAACAUGGUCAGAUAUGUUUACUAUUUGGAUGACAGACCACCUAGGAAGACUAGGUGCUGUAGGCA